This 1686-nucleotide ribosomal RNA is filed under the name Triticum aestivum (bread wheat). Its description in RNAcentral is "partial small subunit ribosomal RNA". The record is from RNAcentral. Lineage: Eukaryota; Viridiplantae; Streptophyta; Magnoliopsida; Poales; Poaceae.
AUGGAUUCAGUGGGAGUGGGAGCGGCCGCCGACAGCGCAACGCCUCUGCUCCUCGCCGCCGCCGUCGCCGUCGCCCUCCUCCUCGUCGGCACGCUGGUCAGGAGGCAUGGAGGGAAUGCCAAGAACGGCCGCCUUCCGCCGAGCCCCGUGGCGCUGCCGCUCAUCGGCCACCUCCACCUCAUCCGCGAGCCCCCGCACCGCGCCUUCCACCGCAUCCUCGCCCGCCACGGCCCGCUCGUCUACCUCCGCCUCGGCCCCUCCACGCACUGCGUCGUCGUCGGCUCCGCCGGCGCCGCCCGCGACGUGCUCAAGUUCGAGGGCAGCAUCCCGGAGCGGCCGCAGACGGCCGUCACGCGCCAGCUCGCCUACGGCUCCUCCGGCUUCGCCUUCGCGCCCUACGGCCCGCACUGGCGCUUCAUGAAGCGCCUCUGCAUGUCGGAGCUGCUCGGCCCGCGCACCAUCGACCUGCUCCGCCCCGUCCGCGCCGCAGAGCUCGCCGGCGUCAUGGGCGCGGCCGCCGCGGCGGCCGCGAACGGCGAGGCGCUGGACGUGAGCAGGCAGCUCAUCCGGCUGUCCAACAACGCCAUGAUGCGGAUGGUCGCCAGCGCGCUGCCCGGCGACAUGGCGGACCUGGCCCGCGACUGCGCCAAGCAGGUGGCGGAGCUGGUCGGCGCCUUCAACCUCGAGGACUACGUGGCGCUGUUCCGCGGCUGGGACCUGCAGGGGCUGUCCCGGCGGACGCGCGGCGUGCACGCCCGGUUCGACGCGCUGCUCGAGUCCAUCAUCCGGGCCAAGGAGAAGGAGCGGCGCGACGGAGCCGACGGGGGCAAGACCAAGGACCUGCUCGACAUCCUCAUGGACGCCGCGGCGGACCCGGCCGCCGAGGUCAAGCUCACCCGGGACAACAUCAAGGCCUUCGUCCUCCAGAUUAGCAGCAAAAUCCAGAUGUUAGGGGGGGCCAGGGCCCCUGCUGGUCCCCCCCUGUCUCCGCCACUGCUUGUGCAUCGAGAUCGAAGUGAGCUGAGCCUGAGUUCAUCGUCCAAUGUCGAACGAAACGAGCAGGAUAUCUUCACGGCCGGGUCGGACACGACGGCGACCAGCGUGGAGUGGAUGCUGGCGGAGCUGCUGGCCCACCCGGACUGCAUGCGGAAGCUGCGGGCGGAGCUGGACGCCGUGGUGGGGAGCUCCCGGGUGGUGGGCGAGCCGGACGUGGCGCAGAUGCCGUACCUGCAGGCGGUGCUCAAGGAGACGCUGCGGCUGCGCCCGCCGGCGGUGAUCGCGCACCGGGAGGCGGUGGAGCCGAUCCGCGUGCGCGGGUACACCAUCCCGGCCGGGACGUCCGUCUUCUUCAACAUCUACUCCAUCGGGCGCGACGCGGCGUGGUGGGAGGACCCGCUGGAGUUCCGGCCGGAGCGGUUCAUGCCGGGCGGCGCCCGCGAGGGCGUGGACCCCAAGGGGCAGCACCCGCAGCUGAUGCCGUUCGGGAGCGGGCGGCGCGCGUGCCCCGGCAUGGGCAUGGCCCUGCUGGCCGUGCCGGCGUUCCUGGCGGCCCUGGUGCAGUGCUUCGACUGGGAGGUGCCCGCCCCGCCGCUGGACAUGGAGGAGGGGGAGGGGCUCGUCAUCCCGAGGAAGCAGCCGCUCCUGCUCCGCCCCACGCUGCGCCUCGGCCAUCUGCCCCUGCCCUAG